RNAcentral lists this ribosomal RNA (482 nucleotides) under uncultured bacterium. Its description in RNAcentral is "partial 16S ribosomal RNA". It matches the Rfam family "Bacterial small subunit ribosomal RNA", at positions 30 to 507 of the family's 1533-position model. The record is from RNAcentral.
AUUGAACGCUGGCGGCAUGCCUUACACAUGCAAGUCGAACGGUAACGGGCCUUCGGGUGCCGACGAGUGGCGAACGGGUGAGUAAUACAUCGGAACGUGCCCGAUUUUGGGGGAUAACGAGGCGAAAGCUUUGCUAAUACCGCAUACGAUCUACGGAUGAAAGCAGGGGACCGCAAGGCCUUGCGCGGACGGAGCGGCCGAUGGCAGAUUAGGUAGUUGGUGGGAUAAAAGCUUACCAAGCCGACGAUCUGUAGCUGGUCUGAGAGGAUGAUCAGCCACACUGGGACUGAGACACGGCCCAGACUCCUACGGGAGGCAGCAGUGGGGAAUUUUGGACAAUGGGCGCAAGCCUGAUCCAGCCAUGCCGCGUGCAGGAUGAAGGCCUUCGGGUUGUAAACUGCUUUUGUACGGAACGAAAAGCCUUCUUUUAAUACAGGAGGGUCAUGACGGUACCGUAAGAAUAAGCACCGGCUAACUACGUG